RNAcentral lists this ribosomal RNA (475 nucleotides) under uncultured organism. RNAcentral's name for it is "partial 16S ribosomal RNA". It matches the Rfam family "Bacterial small subunit ribosomal RNA", at positions 333 to 799 of the family's 1533-position model. The record is from RNAcentral.
ACACUCCUACGGGAGGCAGCAGUGGGGAAUUUUGGACAAUGGGCGAAAGCCUGAUCCAGCCAUGCCGCGUGCAGGAUGAAGGCCUUCGGGUUGUAAACUGCUUUUGUACGGAACGAAACGGCCUUUUCUAAUAAAGAGGGCUAAUGACGGUACCGUAAGAAUAAGCACCGGCUAACUACGUGCCAGCAGCCGCGGUAAUACGUAGGGUGCAAGCGUUAAUCGGAAUUACUGGGCGUAAAGCGUGCGCAGGCGGUUAUGUAAGACAGUUGUGAAAUCCCCGGGCUCAACCUGGGAACUGCAUCUGUGACUGCAUAGCUAGAGUACGGUAGAGGGGGAUGGAAUUCCGCGUGUAGCAGUGAAAUGCGUAGAUAUGCGGAGGAACACCGAUGGCGAAGGCAAUCCCCUGGACCUGUACUGACGCUCAUGCACGAAAGCGUGGGGAGCAAACAGGAUUAGAUACCCGGGUAGUCCCAUG